RNAcentral lists this long non-coding RNA (1007 nucleotides) under Olea europaea (common olive). Its description in RNAcentral is "long non-coding RNA (OEUR_LNC013533)". The record is from RNAcentral. Lineage: Eukaryota; Viridiplantae; Streptophyta; Magnoliopsida; Lamiales; Oleaceae.
AGGAAACGAGGCAAGCCCCCUUCCCCGUCCCACCCCGUCAAGGGCGCGGUGCGGGGUGGGAGAAACGAAUUACCCCCAACUCGUCCCUUUGCCAUCACCAUUCAGAUCCUUCUAUACUUCUAAUGAGAAAAAAAUGAGUGCAAGAUUUUACAAUUUCAAUGAACCGUGUUGAGGAAAGAAAGUGUAGAACUUGAAGUUGCAUCAACUCUCUUUUAAACUGUCUUCUUAGAGAAAUUUUGUUUUCAAUAAAAGAAGUUUACGUUGAACAUGCCUACAUUUGAAUGAUCGCAAGAAGCAUGUCAAGAUCAUUCCUGCAAUGACUUUUGUCAAACAUGCAAUUACUCGAAUAGAUGAAAGUCGAGCUAAAAUUAAUAGAAACUCAGAGGAUAGAAUUAAAAUGAUGUAAGAUGAAGCUGCUUAUGUGCAUAUUACAUUGGAUACAUAUACCAGUUUUUAUUUUACACACGUCAUAGAGGAUGAAAGCCAACAACAUUGUAUCCACACCUCAAAUCAGUCAAAGUCACUCUUCUUUACUCCUCUCUUCAUAUUCUUCGACAUUAUUGACAAUUUUAAGGAACCCUCCGGCAUAAUAAAAGAAUAGCUUCACACCUGAGCAAAACUUAAAAAUGAUACACAUUAACAACCUUUGACAUGCCUUCAAAGAAAAUAAUAGAAGAACGUUAUUCUAGGGAAAAAUAUUCUAGCCCAAGAAUCUUUACACGUACUAACAAUAAAGCAUUUUGAGUCCGGUAUCAAUCUACGAGACCGAAAAACUAAAAUAAGAGCAAUUUAUAAAUCCUCAACUCUUCUUUACUUCCAGAACUCUAGAAGCGAGGCAAAGAGAGGGGACAAAAAGGACUUUGAGCAUGUUUAGCUAAAAGCUUAAAUAGUUCACUGGUAGGUAUGGAUUUUAAAAUAAACAAAUUUAUUUUUAUCAAAUUGCAAUUAAGCAAAUUGCUUGUUUUGACAAUCAAGAGUCACUUUCAAAAUUUUUUUUUUUUUUUUUU